UGUUUAACAAAGAGAAGCAAAGCCGCGAGGUAGAGCAAAUCUCAAAAAAACAAUCUCAGUUCAGACUGCAGGCUGCAACUCGCCUGCACGAAGUCGGAAUUGCUAGUAAUCGUAGGUCAGCAUACUACGGUGAAUACGUUCCCGGGCCUUGUACACACCGCCCGUCAAACCAUGAGAGUUGGCAACACCCGAAGUCGGUAGUCUAACCGCAAGGAGGACGCCGCCGAAGGUGGGGUUGGUGAUUAGGGUUAAGUCGUAACAAGGUAUC
This 268-nucleotide ribosomal RNA is filed under the name uncultured bacterium. RNAcentral describes it as "partial 16S ribosomal RNA". It matches the Rfam family "Bacterial small subunit ribosomal RNA", at positions 1235 to 1500 of the family's 1533-position model. The record is from RNAcentral.